ACUCCUACGGGAGGCAGCAGUGGGGAAUAUUGGGCAAUGGGGGAAACCCUGACCCAGCAACGCCGCGUGAAGGAAGAAGGUCUUCGGAUUGUAAACUUCUUUGAUCAGGGACGAAGAAAUGACUGUACCUGAAGAACAAGUCACGGCUAACUACGUGCCAGCAGCCGCGGUAAUAA
Molecule: ribosomal RNA, 176 nt
Filed under: uncultured bacterium
Lineage: Bacteria
Description: partial 16S ribosomal RNA
Rfam family: Bacterial small subunit ribosomal RNA
Source: RNAcentral